RNAcentral lists this ribosomal RNA (633 nucleotides) under uncultured Tremellales. RNAcentral's name for it is "eukaryotic LSU rRNA". The stretch from base 87 to 241 matches the Rfam family "5.8S ribosomal RNA". The record is from RNAcentral. Lineage: Eukaryota; Fungi; Basidiomycota; Tremellomycetes; Tremellales.
CUUCGCUAUAUCUCGACACCUGUGCCGUUUGGCCGCGGGCAACAUUUACAACCAUAUAGUCCUGAAUGUAACUCCUAUAAGAAUGCCACUUUCGCCAACGGAUCUCUUGGCUCUCGACAUCAAUGAAGAACGCACCGAAAUGCGAUAAGCAAUGUGAAUUGAAGAAUUCCGUGUAUCAUCGAAUCUUUGAACGCACAUUGCGCUCUUUGGUAUUCCGAAGAGCAUGCCUGUUUGAAUGUCAUAAAACCUUCACCCUUCUGGUUUUCUCAGUAUGGGUGGUUGUGGAGCGCUCCCACUUUCACGACUGGCUUGCCCCCUAUGGAUUUCUGGACGAUAUCGCGGUAAGUCUGCACUUCCCCCCUCUCUAAUAAUACCUUUUUAAUCUGACCGCAUAAGACGCGCGACUACCCGCUUAACUUCAGCAACUCAGUCAGCGUAGGAAGUAAACGCUUCCCAGUGAGCUUUAGGAAGAACGCGUCGAGUUGGCCGGGCACAAGGACCCACUCACCCCUAAAAUUUCUAUAAAGUUGACGAAGGAUCAAGUAGGAAUACCCGCUGAACUUAAGCAUAUCAAUAAGCGGAGGAACCUGGGGACUUUUUGGCAGUUAGGGCUCUGAUAGAGUGGGACCACCC